RNAcentral lists this transfer RNA (66 nucleotides) under Chelidoperca hirundinacea. Its description in RNAcentral is "tRNA-Cys". Lineage: Eukaryota; Metazoa; Chordata; Actinopteri; Perciformes; Serranidae. The record is from RNAcentral.
AGCCCCGAGGUGUCAAACACAUUAGAUUGCAACCCUAAAGAGGCAGACUAACGUCUGCCGGGGCUU